GUGAAUCAUCGAAUUUUUGAACGCAAAUUGCACUCUCCGGUUUUCCGGGAGAGUAUGCCUGUUUGAGGUUCAGCCUAAAAAAAAUCGACAUUUUUGUUGUUAUUUAAUGGUGACUUUCUUCGGAGAUUGGGUUAUCUUUAACCUUUUUUUUUUCUUGGUUUACAUGCUGUAAAAUUUAUCUUAACCAUUACAUCAACU
This 198-nucleotide unclassified non-coding RNA is filed under the name Glomeraceae sp. RNAcentral's name for it is "partial contains 5.8S ribosomal RNA and internal transcribed spacer 2". The stretch from base 1 to 72 matches the Rfam family "5.8S ribosomal RNA", at positions 84 to 154 of the family's 154-position model. Lineage: Eukaryota; Fungi; Glomeromycota; Glomeromycetes; Glomerales; Glomeraceae. The record is from RNAcentral.